This 395-nucleotide ribosomal RNA is filed under the name uncultured bacterium. RNAcentral describes it as "partial 16S ribosomal RNA". It matches the Rfam family "Bacterial small subunit ribosomal RNA", at positions 360 to 773 of the family's 1533-position model. The record is from RNAcentral.
AAUAUUGCACAAUGGGGGAAACCCUGAUGCAGCGACGCCGCGUGAGCGAAGAAGGCCUUCGGGUCGUAAAGCUCUGUCCUAAGGGAAGAAACGGACGGUACCUUAGGAGGAAGCCCCGGCUAACUACGUGCCAGCAGCCGCGGUAAUACGUAGGGGGCGAGCGUUAUCCGGAAUUACUGGGCGUAAAGGGUGCGUAGGCGGCCUUUUAAGUCAGAUGUGAAAGGCUAAGGCUUAAACGUAAGUAGCAUUUGAAACUAAAAGGCUUGAGUGCAAGAGAGGAGAGUGGAAUUCCUAGUGGAGGCGUGAAAUGCCUAAAUAAUAGGAGGAAAACCAGGUGGGAAGGCGACUUUCUGGACUGCAACUGAAGCUGGGGCAAGAAAGCGUGGGGAGCGAAC